UGUCAGUAUUUGCAGGCUGGUCAUGUGAUCAACUGUAGCAGUUUGAGAAGGAAGAGAAUCUGAGUAAUAAAGGUUUGAGGUUUCUAAAAACUUAGAUUACAUGCUAUCUCAGGAUGUUAUAAAUGAAGUCAGAAUGGGUGUGAAAUAACUUUUGUAGUUAAACUGGAGCUCUUCUACUAUUUGGAAUUGAGAUAUGAGAAAUCUGUGGAAAUGCAACCGGCCAGCAGUGGCAACCUGAAGCAGCUGUAGGAAACCAAAAGAUUCCUGCGAUUGUUCAAAUGACACCUCUUCAAUCGCAAAAUGUCUGAUGAGAAGAAGAUUAAAGAAAAUCUUAGAAAAGGUGUGAAAAUAGCACUAACGUGUAUUGAAGUUUUAUGUACAUCGGCAUCUGCAAUCUGUCCCUUUUUUGGACCUGCAGGAUCCAUUUGCAAAGUGAUUUUAAAAUGUAUGGAAGAUAACGGUGAAGGAAUGCUUGGUGCAGAGUUUGAAAAAGUUAACAUGGAGCUACAGAACAUUUACAAAGCAAACCAAGAUGUGCUUAAUGAGAUUAAGAAACAAAAAAGUGAUUACCAGUUGUCUGAAAUAGAGUUUUUCUUGAAGAAGUACUUUAAUGCUUUAUUAAACAUUGAGAAAGCAAGACCAGAAGAUGUUGAGAAAGAGACAGAAAAAUUCAUUGAGAUGUAUAAAGGGAGACAAGAAGAAGAUCUAUUGGCCCUCUGUAAACUUGUAGUAGGAAAUGUGGUGUAUGGUGAUCCAAUUCUAAAAGUGUGUAAAACAUGGUCUAAAGGAGAUAAAAAUGCCAUGAUGAAUUUAUGUGACCACUUAAGGUUUCUGUUAAGCAUUGGCCUGAAUUGUUACAUGUUCUACUUGACUAUCACUGAUGCGGAAGACAUCGAGGAGCAAUCUGAAAAAUGGAAAGAAAGGCUAGUGAAAGCCAACAGGAAGAUGGAACAAGCCAUUCGAGAAUGCCGCUAAGAAUACAAUCAGCUAAGAAAAACAAAAGCUAUGCCAGUUAUUUUGUCACAGUGCUUGUUUUAAUUUAUAUGAAAAAUGCUUGCAUGUUAUACAUACCUAAUGUAUUUGGUGAAUAGAAUGAAAUAAAACAGACUACAAUCGCCUUUUUUAAUGAUUUCACCUUCCUUUGUGUUAUUCUACUUCAGAAUAUUCCACUAUUACAAGAUCAGAUGUUUAAAACCAAUGUAGUAGCUUCCUAAUUUGUGUUCUCUGGGAAAACCUAUAUUUCACUGACUCCUCUCACUUGAUUCAAAUUCAGGUUAUGCGAACUAGCGUCUUGUAAUGUCCUUGUGGUUAAAAGUGCUUGUUUCAUUGCUGUCCAUUUAUGUCUGUAUUUGUAGCACCCAUUGCCACCCUAUUACAGAGCAUCAUUUAAUGUUAGUAGAUCUGUAUCCUCUGUUUACAACUGUGAUAUGUGGUUUGUAAUGAUAUAACUUAAUUAAAUUUCACUGAGGCAUAAAAUGCACUUUGAAUAGGACUUUCUACACUUGUACUUGUUCCUGUGAGUAUCCUUUGUUAUUGAAACUACAGUGCUGAUUGUGGAAAAACAUUCCUGUUUUCUAGUAUGUAUUGACGCUGUAUUUUAUUUGUAAGUCAUGAAUGGGGUUUCACUUGUCCAACUUUUACGCAGUGAUCUUGCCUAUUUAUCUUACCUUUUUUCUUGUGAUUGCAGCUAUAAGGCUGGUGAUCAGAAAGUUGUGACCUGUUAAAAGUACUUUUUGUAGGGCGGGGGGACUUCCCCUCCUACAGUCCUUUACUCGUGUAUGCUACCUCUGACAUCCUACAUCCUCUGGGAAGAAAAUGCAUGUCCCAACCCAAAGUCUGUGUGGUCUCACUAUUUGUGAAUAAUUUGUGAUCACUGAACUGAUGUCUGUGACCAUACAAAACACAAGUGGAAAACUGUAGUAUCGUGUGUGUGUGUGUGUGUGUGUGUGUGUAUGUGUGUCCAUUCACACUGUUUUCGUCAGUAAUACAUUUUCAUGGGAAAGCAGUCUUUCACUUCAUUUUGUGACUGUUGAAACAAUGUAUUUAUUACCCAUACCUAAAAGCAAUCAGAGUAUGAGACAUGACUGAGCUACAUAGAUGUUGGAUAUUUUUGUCAAGUAGAAAUGAUACCCUGUGUAACAUCAAACUGAGUAAUACAUUUUAUUGCAAAUGUAAAGAAUAAUAGUUUAAAAAUGUUUUCUCUACAUUAGAAUUAUGUUCGGGAAAAAAUAUUGUCUAAUCUGAGGUGCCUGAAAAUGUAAAUUAGCAGGGGAAAUUUACCAAAGAAUGGUAGCUUGUCUUCCAUCAUUUUACACUUCUUCAGUAUACCAGAACAAUUAUUUCUUGUUAAUGUUCUGAGAUCUGUGACUGGAUUGUUAGAGUAGCAAAAUAUCUGUUCAGUUUCCUUGAUUCUUAAGUUUAUUGCAUAGAGUUAUUUGUAGAUUUUGGUAUCCUGAAGUAAGUGUAAGUCUGAAAUGAAUAUUGAUGAUGCAGAGAAUGUUUAUUGAAACACAUUAGCUGAUUUGGUUUCUAUUGUAAAACGGAUGCAGGUGCCUUUAACUUGUGCAUGCUGAUCCUUCAAAGAUUAGCUGAGGGGAAUUCCCACUGUAAUUGGAAGUAUUAUUUUAGCAAAUGGAACUGGUUUCCUUAAUAUUCAUUCUCACCAUGCAUACUUGCAAAAGAAAAUUGUUUGCAAUAUACUGUUUAAGUAAACACGGUUUUGCAAGACGGUAUUAACCUAAAUUUGGAAUAGUGAUGUUUUAUGUGUUGAAUAUAAUAUUAUUGUAUAGCUAGUACAGCAGUCAUCAAAAGGUCUACUAGAAGAUGAAUGCAAAACGAUGCCAAGUUAUUCAUCAUAUCUCACUUUACAGUAGAAUCUGUACAUUCUCUAUAUGGUAUGCUUUGCUGAACUCUGAUACCUGUUGAAUGGGCAAAUACAGCUUGCUCACAAGGUUUUGCCAGCGUAUUUGCUGAAAAUGACCAAUCACCAUAAAAUAUUUAGGUAAAGAUAACAGUUAUAUAAUACAGGAUCUACUUCUACUUGGUGAAUAUACUACACAAAUUAAAAUAACACAUACAACAGAAAUGCAAAACAGAUAAAUCUUAUGUUCUUUCAUUUUAAGGUGCCAAACAUGUCUAAAGAGUAUUGAACAGAAUGCUGUGACAGUCUGUAAAUGUUUUUUUGAGAAAUGCCGGAAAGGCCAUUGGAGAGAAUUGUCAAGUACUGUUGCAGAAGUAAUAUUCUACUGCUUAGUGUAAUGAUAGCUUGUGUAUAAUAUAUGAGUAAGUGACGUAUACCACUUAAGUAACAGUAUUACUACAGUUAAAACAGUUAAAAUAUGGUCAUAUUCACUCCCAUACCUGCUUAAUGAAAUGGUUUCAGAAGUGCACUAGCUUGGAGUUCCCAUUGUACAGCUGUGGAAGCACAGCUUGUGAUCUUGUCAGUUUCACAGUGAUAGUGUUACUAGGUGAGCCGCCCAUCCAUCACAUGGCACACUCAGACUGCACUUCCAUUUUUCACCAGUAUAUUUCUGCUGUUGCAUUUUCAUGAAACAGCAACAGUAUAAAUGUUUCAACAAAUAUGGGUGGGACCCAUAAUAUGGAUGUGCUCUAUACCUUUACCUUCCAACAGCAAUAAUUAGGGCUGUUAUCAUUAGCAAAUACUUAUGAAAACCCUGUGAGAGGGAAAUGCACAGCUGUACACAAAAAAGAGUACUGGUAUUGUAGCAUGUAACUUUAUGAAGGUUGCUGGCCAGUCAUUAAUAUGAGCCUAGACACAGUGGACCACACUACAUGUUGUGGUGUCCUUGUAUACUGAAAGAUGCAGUUUGGACAUGCAUGUGUUCUGUAGGUUGCAUAGUGUACUUGUCUCCCCUCCCUGUAGUGCGCUUCAUGUCUCUGUCAUACUACAAACAUCAUCCAAUGUCUGAUGCAUCAUUGUAAGGUGGGGUACACAGUCCUGUUGUGAAAAGGAACACAGUACUGCACCACGUUGUGCAUCUGUCACACUGCAGACACUGUCUAGCAUGACAUAUCACUGUAGUGUCUAUUUAUCUUUCUUUUGUACAGUUGCACAUUUCCCUCCCUAAGUUGAGCUGCAUAGCAGUGUUGUAAAAAGGUACACAGUAUUACAUCUCUGUAAGGUGGUCUGUCUGGUACAACUUUGCAGCCUGACACAGCUCCUGCACUGUCUUUUUAGUAGUUAGCUUCCUAUUGUUGUAUAGUGUAUGCAAAGGUGCACUGCUCUUUCAACAUACAAUACCAUUCAUCUCCCCUAAGGACCUUGCUCAUGCUCACAGAAGUGUAAGUUACUUAGUGCUGCUGCUGUUUACCUUGUGCUUCUGUCUGAACUCAUUCCUUUGCACCUUGUGUACUUUGUUGUUGUAGGAGACAAGAGUACACUGCUGCUGUGGUUGUUAAGGAGAAUGUAAUACCCCUUAGACUUUCCUCAAGAGCCUUAUGUGCUCUUCAGGCAUAUCUCCCCUCUUGUUUAUAUUAUUGCAUGGAGAUUUGCCCUACAAGCAUUGUUCCUUUUUGAAAUUGUUGGCACAUAGUGCCAUCCUUUUGUGUGCCUUAAGUUGCUAUUAACCCCCUGUUCUGCUAUUCCCAGAUAGGGUGCAGAGUGGCAUCCUGUUAUGUGGCCUAUGAAUAGUUAUGUCACUUACCCUGUGCAACUCUUCUGUUGUGUGUACCAACCAUCCAAUUGUAGCAUGCAUGGGCUACUUUCUGUCACGUAUGCUAGUUUGUUUCUGAGCUGUAUGUCUGUUGUUAUGGUGUGUGAGUCUCUUUUGUGAAGCAUAUUAAUGAAGACUGGAUGGUGAGCCUGAGUCUGCCACACAGGUGAGGUUAUUUAUUUCAUGGCAGAAUGGUGCACAGUGUAACAGCAUAAAAUGUGGAUAGUGGGUCAGCCUUUUAUAAUUGUCACGUCAUAAAUGAUGUAUCCACUGUGUAUGACUUCAUCCAUAUUAGCUGCUCAUGUUGACAUAAAUGCUCCUGUAUAUUCUGCUGGCUAGUGUUACAGAAUGACUCACUGACAUUUUUGUUUCUACUAGUCUCCUGCUAAAUACAGUUGCUACAUUUAAUGCUUGCUUUGCUGAGGUGACACACUGCAAGCCAUGCCACAUACAUUUUUUCUGGGUCACAACUCUGUUCAUUGGACACAAUGCAGAUGCCUUAAUCCAGUGAAUCCUGAAUGGAACACAAGUCCAUCACAGGGUGUGUGUAUGUAUGUGUGUCUGUUUAUAGACAUAGCAUGCGGACACACACACACAAACACACACACACGCACACGCACACACUGCAACUGCAGGCACAUUGAAGGCUCACCAGAUGUGAUGCGAUUGGUGUCCAUUUUCUUAUACUUUUAGAACUCGAGGCUAGCAGGAUAAUGGCAGCCCUGCCUUCUGUUAGCUCAAGGAAAAAGGAGCACAGGAAAAGAAGAAACCAAGGAAGGAGACAAAAAUGUCCCUGGAACAACUUCUAAACCCAGACCAAAAUGUCUGGGGGGGGGGGGGAGUAGUUGGAGUCAUAAAGAAAAUGGAUUUGGUCUCUCAUUAUUAUUAAAGUAGGUAACUUUCAUAUGCGAUGGCAUCCGUUCAUCUUCCUCAACCUCUGAUAGAGUCCCAAGAAAAACUUGUUUGUUGAACCACUGUAAAAGUUGUGUCUAGAGAGAACAUCUCCAAGUACUACUAAACUGGUGAUAUCGGACCUACAGAUAUCUCAUGAGAAGACUGGAGACUAAUAGGAGGCUAGUAUUAAUAAUCAAAAUAUAACAGGAGAAGAGAUGGUAGACUAUGGGCACCAAAACUCAAGUUCCAGUCACAUUAUUCUCACUUUGGCUGUUAGUGUAAUGUGGCUAUUGUGGCUAAUCAAUGUGAUAUAUAGUAUCACUGGAUGAAGAAUGGAAAAUGUUAAGGAAAAACCUGUAUUCUGGGAAUAGGCAACCUAGAAGCCAUAUGCUGUGAAGCUUCUGGAAAACUAACCCUAAUGUGAGAAAAGGUAUGAGGCCAGCAAAAGUAGACCCCAAGAAGAAAGAGGGAUCUUAGAUGUUAGCAAAGAAAUAGCCAUAGUCUAAAUGCAAUUAAAACCUAUUUAAGAUUUGAUUCAUCACUUGCAGUUUAGUAUGUCUGUAAAACCAUUUUUAAAUCUAAUUAAAAUUGUAGACAGACGAACAUUGUUGCCAUGAAAACUGUCUUACAGUUAGGAAAUGUUCAUCAAUCUUUAAUGCAUUAACAGUGUAGGCUGAGGCAUGUUGUGUAUGUUAUUAGAAUAGUUCAUGAUUCUUAAUUAAAAUCUUGCUGUUUUCUUGGGCACUUCUGUUGCACUCUAGUGCUGACUUCUGAUUAUGUUCAGCUUUUUUGUCUUUGUGUACUUCUGGAGUAUCAUAGCUCUGAUAAUACUUCCAGUCUCAGCCAUGCUUCAUUCUUAAACUUUACACCAUAAAAAUUAGAAUGUAUGUGGCCAUAUGUAACUGUUCUACUGCAUCCAUCUUAGGAUUGAAAAGCUAGCGUACAAUUAACGGCUUCUUUUAUUAAAGUAUAUACAUCUAUUGAGUUGAUAGUAACUGGGCAAUUCCAUAACAUUUGUAUUAUACAAAUAUAUAUAUUGCAAUGUAUGUUCCCUUUACCUCUUUGCUAAUUUUAAUUAUUUCACUUGAAAUAGCAAUCCAUGUGCAUCUUUUACAUCUGAUGGUAAAGUUCAUUGUCUCUUCAUAAUAUACCACAGCUAGUGAAAUCCAAAAAAAAAAACUGUAAUUUGCUAAGACCAGUUGUCAACCAUGAGUGGCUUAACCACUCAUGGAAAAAAGUGUGACAGUCACACAACUCACAAGAAUCUCACAAGAGUGGCAUAUCUAAAAGAGGUUAAACCUUUUACAAGCUGCUCAAGUUUGACCCAAAUCCAGCCACACCACAGGCAUGACUAAAUUCCAGUCUAUUGCAGACACAAACUUGAUACAUUAAUGUUAUGUAGAUGUUUAUCAUAGCAUUCACUGUUGCAGUGUGCAGGUAGCACAUGACAAACCCUACUUGUGGAACUUCACUCUGCACAAGGGCUUUGUCCUUUACCCUUCCACCAAAGUGUAGAUAGUUUGAUGGUGUAAAGGAUGAAUCAGUUUACACCAUCUUCAGGUCAUUCUUGAUGUGUAGUGUACAUAACUUUGGUGGUAUUGUAACUUCAGGAGGGUAAGGCAGGAUUCCCAUAAUCCUGGUACACUAGAAGGCUCCUGUUGACUGCAUCAAACUCUUUGCUUCUCACCCAAGACAUGAGGCCCCCAGUUUAGUAGUUCCUGAAGUUUCACAAACCAGUGCCUGUCAGCAUGCUUUGGCAUGGUUAGGUAAUGCAUCUUCCUGUUAUACUUCGGAGGCUUCUACUGAAUCCUUACUGAGCAAGCAAGGUACUGCAACGAAUAAAGUCUGAUGUUUUCAGUAGAGAACAGUUCAGUACAAUGCAGGCUGUUCCAUCAUCACUAAAGUUCUUAUAAGGGUCUCCCCUAUACAAUAUGUACAGUAGUGGAGAGGGAGCUGUGACUAGCCAGUGUAUUCUAUUACCUUGGGAUUUCAGAUGUCACAUGACCUAAGGAGUUCUGGAUAGUCAGUAGCUCCAAAAUGGCAGAAUGUACUGCUUGGUUGCUAGUUUGACUGACCUGUAUUGUUUACAGUGACUGGUAAAACAUAUUUGUUUCAAUAAGAAUUUUUACAGGAAAUUUAAGUCUUUUGAAAACAAGACAUUUCUCUUUUCUUGAUAAGAGUUGCAUCUGAAUUUUGGUAUACUGACAAGCUGUUUAAAAACGUCCUGCCGCUUAUUGAGUUUUUAUUUAGUAGGAUUAUACGAAGUGUUUGUUUCUCUCUCCUUGUCUGCAGGAAGUAAGACAUCCUGGAUUCUGCCUUGAACUUAUGUUAUAUAUUUGAUGUUUUAUUUGAUUAUUUUUGUGGUAUGAAAUUUGUACAAGCAUGAUUAAGCUACCUGAGUCUUUCUCUUCUGGCAUAUUGAAUGUGUCAGCAGCGUAUAUGCUGCAUGCCUUAAAAAGUGACUAUAACAGUUGCGAUGAAAAGCUGUUUUAGAAUGUACUAAUCAGUUUAGGACAUAACUGUACGAUAUAAUUUUGAGCAGGGACAACAAAACCUGAGUAAGUUCCAUUCCAAUUUGCAGUAUAAAGCUUUGUUAACCUUUUCUUACUUGUCUGUACUGUUUCUUUCUAUAUGACUCUCCCUGAGGAAGACUGUAUGUGGAAUUUUGUGCUUUCCCAAUAAUAGACAUAUUUUACUGUAAAAAUAGGGAAAAAAUCUUCUGAGUUCUUUGGGGCAUGUGUCAGUAUAAAUAUUUAGAAUGCAUUUGUACUUCUGUAACUAUAGGUAAAAAAAAAAAAAACUGUGUCUUCAAUUUUCAAAAAGCAGGUAUUAAAACUGAAAUGUGUAUUACCAAUAUGCAAAAUAAAACUACUCUUUUGUUGGUUUCCAAGGUAAUUAGCAUUGCUUGUGUAAUGUGUAUUGCAUAUGAAAACUCCUUUGCUUAGUUACAGGAGUAAAUGCAUUUUAAUUAACACUUUAGUGAACUGGUGUUUAAAUAGAAAACCCUUUUACUUAUAACAUAUAAACUCGGAUACAUGUGUUUUCAGAGAAUCAGGGAAGUACUGCUGUGCACCAUUUAUGUGAUUUCAUUGCAAAAUAUGACUAUCUUUACAGCAGUUCAGUACAAGAAAUAUGAACAUACUUGUGUCUGUGUAAUGUAUUUGCUGGCUGAAUUGCAAUAAAUAGUUUCAAAAUAAA
This is a long non-coding RNA of Protopterus annectens (West African lungfish), 8765 nucleotides long. RefSeq lists it as uncharacterized. NCBI's taxonomy places the organism in Eukaryota, Metazoa, Chordata, Ceratodontiformes, Protopteridae. The transcript is spliced from 2 exons. The record is from RefSeq and is a predicted model, not a curated record.